CCUACGGGGGGCAGCAGUAGGGAAUCUUCCGCAAUGGACGAAAGUCUGACGGAGCAACGCCGCGUGAGCGAAGAAGGCCUUCGGGUCGUAAAGCUCUGUUGUUAGGGAAGAACAAGUACCGGAGUAACUGCCGGUACCUUGACGGUACCUAACCAGAAAGCCACGGCUAACUACGUGCCAGCAGCCGCGGUAAUACGUAGGUGGCAAGCGUUGUCCGGAAUUAUUGGGCGUAAAGCGCGCGCAGGCGGUUCCUUAAGUCUGAUGUGAAAGCCCCCGGCUCAACCGGGGAGGGUCAUUGGAAACUGGGGAACUUGAGUGCAGAAGAGAAGAGCGGAAUUCCACGUGUAGCGGUGAAAUGCGUAGAGAUGUGGAGGAACACCAGUGGCGAAGGCGGCUCUUUGGUCUGUAACUGACGCUGAGGCGCGAAAGCGUGGGGAGCGAACAGGAUUAGAUACCCGUGUAGUC
Molecule: ribosomal RNA, 465 nt
Filed under: Salmonella enterica subsp. enterica
Lineage: Bacteria; Pseudomonadati; Pseudomonadota; Gammaproteobacteria; Enterobacterales; Enterobacteriaceae
Description: bacterial SSU rRNA
Rfam family: Bacterial small subunit ribosomal RNA
Source: RNAcentral